AGCUUCUGGGCAAACUCGGGGUGUCCCCUCUAGGCGCUUAGCAGGUUUGUGUUCUCAAAGAUCGGUUAUCUCUAGGGAAGGGGGCGUGGCUGCCCUGGGGGCUUGCCUCGUCGGAGGCGCGGUGUAGAGGCGGACCCAGAGAUUGAUGGAGCUACCGCGACUAUCAUCUGAGCCGCCCGGUUAGGCGUCGCCCGGUUGGCGCUCCAGGCAAGCUUCUGGCUUUGGUGCGGCAGCAGCGAGUCCUGAUGUGUUCCCAUAUCGUUGUCGUCAUUGCUUGCGCACAGACGGGCUAAGUGGUUGAUAUCCAGAACGCAGCCCCAAGGCUCUUAGACCCUGAUAAGAACAUCCUCAUCUUCCCCGGUUGUCAUGGCUCCAGACUCACGGUAAAGUCUGACUGAUAUGAUACUCCAUGGGAACAUUUGUUCCAUGCUUGAAAGCCCUAGUUGGGGAUUUUUUUUUAAUCCCUUCAUCAUGGGGCCUCACUAAGCAGUUUAUUCACAAAGCAUGAAGGAGAAAGGGGGAAGAAGAGAAGAGAGGAGAGCAGAGAUGAGGCACCUGGAGAGGGUGGUGGUGGAAAGUGGGCACUGGCCCCAGUGUGUGUACUGAUGUUACCCAUGCCAUAUCCUCCCUCAUCUUUCACAAUGAAGAGGCCAAGUGCUUCCCCUCCCAGGGCCACCUCCAUUCACUCCAGCUCUGUGGAUGUGGAAGACUCACACUUGAUGCUACUCCUGAUGGUCCCACCUCCCCGAGGCUCGCCGAGCUGAAUUACUUUUCCGUGGAGUGGCCUCUCUCUCUGACUGUUCUGUCUUUGCAGAGAUGACCCUGCCAGGGGAGGAGCACACUCAAAGGUAAGGUCACCUAAGCUGCUCAAGGUCCUGAGCGCUCUGGAGGAGGGUGAGUCUGGCAGCAACAGGGAGGAGAUUUUCAUUGCACCCCCUAACAAUGCCUCCGAGGACCUCACUGAUGAGGAUUCUGGGGAAGAAGACAGUGACCAGAAUAGUGCCCAGCUGCCUGGCUGGGUGCUGCGUGCAUCAGUCCUGUCUGAGAACUC
Molecule: small RNA, 1051 nt
Filed under: Rattus norvegicus (Norway rat)
Lineage: Eukaryota; Metazoa; Chordata; Mammalia; Rodentia; Muridae
Description: uncharacterized LOC108352086
Source: RNAcentral